GAGUUGGGCGCCAUGGCUGCCUUCUGGGCAGAGUGCAGGGCCUGCCUUAAAUGUUGUGGGGGUUCUGUUCUCAACAAAGGCGUAAGUUGGGAGCGACUGAGCCACUCCAGGAGGAGGUGUGGGCCCACGGCGUGUUGGAGGUGGAGCCACAGGACCUGUCCAUAGGUUGGAUGCUGUGUGGGUGACAGAGAGAAACCGGGGCUCACGGCCUGGGCAGCGGGACGGGCGGAGUCGUCCUCACCUGUGCUGGGGACCCUGUGGGAGCAGCAGGCUUCCGAGCACGUGCUGGACCCCGGCGUCUCCGGCUGCACCGAGUGGUCAGGACAUUGAGGCCGGGUCAGGGAGCGUGAGAUACCGGGACGAGCGGGCCCAGGGCUGAGCCCAGCGGCGUCCGGGUGGGCGGUGGCGUUGAGAUGGGAAUUGGGAAUUGCACCGGUGGUCUCAGGAGGAUGGAAAACCCAAGCAGCAGCUGCACCAGGACCGAGGCAAAGGGACCGCAGUUUAACAGAAAACCCAAAACGAGAGCGAGAAAACGGCCAAACACCCGUGCGAGGAGGAAACCCAAGCUCCGCCGAGCGCGGCGGGUCUGUGCCUUCGCUUCGCUUCCAGCCUCUCGCUUCCUUCUGACCCGACCCCGAGUUCUUUCUCCGGACGGUGUCGAGAACCCGGGCGCCGGCUGGGGCUGGAGUCUCGCUGGCCUCGGAGCGCCCCCGAGCCCUCGGGCGACAGCGAGGGAACGCCAGGCCCCCGGACGCGACCCACGCGGCCGCUGCCAGCGGG
Molecule: long non-coding RNA, 780 nt
Filed under: Homo sapiens (human)
Lineage: Eukaryota; Metazoa; Chordata; Mammalia; Primates; Hominidae
Description: non-protein coding lnc-PGGHG-1:10
Source: RNAcentral